Molecule: ribosomal RNA, 1372 nt
Filed under: uncultured bacterium
Lineage: Bacteria
Description: bacterial SSU rRNA
Rfam family: Bacterial small subunit ribosomal RNA
Source: RNAcentral
GAUGAACGCUGGCGGCGUGCCUAAUACAUGCAAGUCGAGCGAACGGACGAGAAGCUUGCUUCUCUGAUGUUAGCGGCGGACGGGUGAGUAACACGUGGAUAACCUACCUAUAAGACUGGGAUAACUUCGGGAAACCGGAGCUAAUACCGGAUAAUAUUUUGAACCGCAUGGUUCAAAAGUGAAAGACGGUCUUGCUGUCACUUAUAGAUGGAUCCGCGCUGCAUUAGCUAGUUGGUAAGGUAACGGCUUACCAAGGCAACGAUGCAUAGCCGACCUGAGAGGGUGAUCGGCCACACUGGAACUGAGACACGGUCCAGACUCCUACGGGAGGCAGCAGUAGGGAAUCUUCCGCAAUGGGCGAGAGCCUGACGGAGCAACGCCGCGUGAGUGAUGAAGGUCUUCGGAUCGUAAAACUCUGUUAUUAGGGAAGAACAUAUGUGUAAGUAACUGUGCACAUCUUGACGGUACCUAAUCAGAAAGCCACGGCUAACUACGUGCCAGCAGCCGCGGUAAUACGUAGGUGGCAAGCGUUAUCCGGAAUUAUUGGGCGUAAAGCGCGCGUAGGCGGUUUUUUAAGUCUGAUGUGAAAGCCCACGGCUCAACCGUGGAGGGUCAUUGGAAACUGGAAAACUUGAGUGCAGAAGAGGAAAGUGGAAUUCCAUGUGUAGCGGUGAAAUGCGCAGAGAUAUGGAGGAACACCAGUGGCGAAGGCGACUUUCUGGUCUGUAACUGACGCUGAUGUGCGAAAGCGUGGGGAUCAAACAGGAUUAGAUACCCUGGUAGUCCACGCCGUAAACGAUGAGUGCUAAGUGUUAGGGGGUUUCCGCCCCUUAGUGCUGCAGCUAACGCAUUAAGCACUCCGCCUGGGGAGUACGACCGCAAGGUUGAAACUCAAAGGAAUUGACGGGGACCCGCACAAGCGGUGGAGCAUGUGGUUUAAUUCGAAGCAACGCGAAGAACCUUACCAAAUCUUGACAUCCUUUGACAACUCUAGAGAUAGAGCUUUCCCCUUCGGGGGACAAAGUGACAGGUGGUGCAUGGUUGUCGUCAGCUCGUGUCGUGAGAUGUUGGGUUAAGUCCCGCAACGAGCGCAACCCUUAAGCUUAGUUGCCAUCAUUAAGUUGGGCACUCUAAGUUGACUGCCGGUGACAAACCGGAGGAAGGUGGGGAUGACGUCAAAUCAUCAUGCCCCUUAUGAUUUGGGCUACACACGUGCUACAAUGGACAAUACAAAGGGCAGCGAAACCGCGAGGUCAAGCAAAUCCCAUAAAGUUGUUCUCAGUUCGGAUUGUAGUCUGCAACUCGACUAUAUGAAGCUGGAAUCGCUAGUAAUCGUAGAUCAGCAUGCUACGGUGAAUACGUUCCCGGGUCU